CGGGGUGUAGCGCAGUUGAUAGCGCGCCGCAUUUGGGAUGCGGAGGCCGCGAGUUUGAGUCUCGCCACUCCGACCA
This 76-nucleotide transfer RNA is filed under the name Clostridiales bacterium. RNAcentral's name for it is "tRNA-Pro". It matches the Rfam family "tRNA". From Rfam's summary of the family: Transfer RNA (tRNA) molecules are approximately 80 nucleotides in length. The record is from RNAcentral. RNAcentral also lists the same sequence under 1 other name. Lineage: Bacteria; Bacillati; Bacillota; Clostridia; Eubacteriales.